ACAGCCCAGACCGUCGUCUAAGGUCCCGAAGCGUGUGCUAAGUGGGAAAGGAUGUGGAGUCGCAUAGACAGCCAGGAGGUUGGCUCAGAAGCAGCCAUCCUUGAAAGAGUGCGUAACAGCUCACUGGUCUAGUGGUUCCGCGCCGACAAUGUAGCGGGGCUCAAGCACACCACCGAAGACGCGGCAGCAAUCUUCAUGGUUGCUGGGUAGGAGAGCGUCCUGCGAGGGGCGAAGCGGCCGGGUAACCGUGCCGUGGACUUCGUGGGAGUGAGAAUGCAGACAUGAGUAGCGAGAGACGGGUGAGGAUCCCGUCCGCUGGAUGACCAAGGGUUCCGGGGCCACGUUCGUCGUCCCCGGGUGAGUCGGGUCCUAAGGCGAGGCCGACAGGCGUAGUCGAAUGGAUGAACGGGUGGAUAUUCCCGUACCGACCAUGGACCGGCAAAACCGAGACGGUGAGUACUAACCUCCGCCUCGUGGUGGUUCCUUCCUUCGGGUUGGUGUCGCCGCGUGGUGUUGGGAGCGUAGCCGCAGUAGGUCAGCGCAGGGGUGACACGGAAUGGGAGCCGGCCGCGGAGGUGGUUUUCCGUGGUCAAGCACGCAGCCAGUCAUGUAGGCAAAUCCGCAUGGCGCGCAUGGCGAGGUGUGAUGAUGGGAGCCGUUAUGGCUCGAUAUCCGGUUGUCCAGGCCGUCGAGAAAAGCCUCGGCGUGAGGGCCAUGGCCGCCCGUACCCCAAACCGACACUGGUGGUCAGGUAGAGAAUACCAAGGCGAUCGAGCGAAUCCUGGUCAAGGAACUCGGCAAAUCACUCCCGUGCCUUCGGUAUAAGGGAGACCCACUGGGGUGAAGGACCUUGCGUCCGGAGCUUUGGUGGGUGGCACAGACCAGGGGGUAGCGACUGUUUACCAAAAACACAGGUGCAUGCGAAGGCGAAAGCCGCUGUAUAUGCACUGACGCCUGCCCGGUGCCGGAAGGUUAAGAGGAUCCGUCAGUCCUUCGGGAUGAAGCGGUGAAUUCAAGCCCCGGUAAACGGCGGUGGUAACUAUAACCAUCCUAAGGUAGCGAAAUUCCUUGUCGGGUAAGUUCCGACCUGCACGAAUGGCGUAACGACUUCCCCACUGUCUCGACCAGGAGCUCGGCGAAAUUGCAGUACGAGUAAAGAUGCUCGUUAAGCGCAGAAGGACGAAAAGACCCCGGGACCUUUACUAUACCUUGGUAUUGGCGUUAGGCGCGGAUUGUGUAGCAUAGGCGGGAGGCUUCGAAGCGUGGGCGCCAGCUCAUGUGGAGCCGCAAGGUGAAAUACCGCUCUGUUCUCGUUUGACGUCUAACCUCGACAAGUCAUCCUUGUCAGGGACAGUGCCUGGCGGGUAGUUCAACUGGGGCGGUUGCCUCCCAAAGAGUAACGGAGGCGCUCAAAGGUCCGCUCAGCCCGGUUGGCAAUCGGGUGUCGAGUGUAAUCGCACAAGCGGGCUUGACUGCGAGGACGACGGUCCGAGCAGGGACGAAAGUCGGAGAUAGUGAUCCGGUGCCGGCGCACGGGCGCGGCAUCGCUCAACGGAUAAAAGGUACCCCGGGGAUAACAGGCUGAUCAUUCCCAAGAGUCCAUAUCGACGGGAUGGUUUGGCACCUCGAUGUCGGCUCGUCGCAUCCUGGGGCUG
This 1655-nucleotide ribosomal RNA is filed under the name human gut metagenome. RNAcentral describes it as "bacterial LSU rRNA". It matches the Rfam family "Bacterial large subunit ribosomal RNA", at positions 1022 to 2555 of the family's 2925-position model. The record is from RNAcentral.